GCAUGCGUGCGUGCGUGCGUGCGUGCGUGCGUGCGUGCGUGCGUCCACUUGCUCACUCGUUCUCAUGUGUGCAUCUCUUGGAUCAACAAUAUCUCAGCGUCUCAUUUCAGGGGGGUUUGAAUGAAAAAAUACGAUGGUUAAGUUUAAUCAUUAAAUCCGACUGGUUAAGGUAAAGGGGUAAGGUAAAGGGUUAAGGUAAAGGUAAAGGUUAAGGGGUAAGGUAAGGGUUAAGGUAAGGGUUAAGGGUAAAGGUUUAAGGGGUACGGGUUAAUGGUUAAUGGUUAAGGGUUAAUGGGUAAGGUAAAGGUUAAGGGGUAAGGUAAGGGUUAAGGUAAGGGUUAAAGGUAAAGGUUUAAGGGGUACGGGUUAAUGGUUAAGGGUUAAUGGGUAAGGUAAGGGUUAAGGUAAAGGGUUAAGGUAAGGGUUAAGGGCUAAGGUAAGCGUUAAGGUUUAAGGUAAUGGUUAAGGGGUAAGGUAAGGGUUAAGGUAAGGGUUAAGGGUAAAGGUUUAAGGGGUACGGGUUAAUGGUUAAGGUAAGGGUUAAGGGUUAAUGGUUAAGGGUUAAUGGUUAAGGUAAGGGUUAAGGUAAGGGUUAAGGUAAGGGUUAAGUUAAGGGUUAAGGUAAUGGCUAAGGUAAUGGCUAAGGUAAGCGUUAAGGUUUAAGGUAAUGGUUAAGGUAAGGGUUAAGUUAAGGGGUAAGGUAAGGGUAAGGGUUAAGGGUAAAGGUUUAAGGGGUACGGGUUAAUGGUUAAUGGUUAAGGGUUAAGGUAAGGGUUAAGGGUUAAGGUAAGGGUUAAGGUAAUGGUUAAGGGUUAAGGUAAGGGUUAAGGUAAGGGUUAAGUUAAUGGCUAAGGUAAGCGUUAAGGUUUAAGGUAAUG
Oncorhynchus keta (chum salmon) is the source of this 878-nucleotide long non-coding RNA. RefSeq lists it as uncharacterized. The transcript is spliced from 3 exons. Lineage: Eukaryota; Metazoa; Chordata; Actinopteri; Salmoniformes; Salmonidae. The record is from RefSeq and is a predicted model, not a curated record.